AGAGUUUGAUCCUGGCUCAGGCCGAACGCUGGCGGCGUGCCUAAUACAUGCAAGUAGAACGCUGAAGAGAGGAGCUUGCUCUUCUUGGAUGAGUUGCGAACGGGUGAGUAACGCGUAGGUAACCUGCCUUGUAGCGGGGGAUAACUAUUGGAAACGAUAGCUAAUACCGCAUAACAAUGGAUGACACAUGUCAUUUAUUUGAAAGGGGCAAUUGCUCCUCUACAAGAUGGACCUGC
This 236-nucleotide ribosomal RNA is filed under the name uncultured Streptococcus sp. RNAcentral describes it as "partial 16S ribosomal RNA". It matches the Rfam family "Bacterial small subunit ribosomal RNA", at positions 8 to 234 of the family's 1533-position model. The record is from RNAcentral. Lineage: Bacteria; Bacillati; Bacillota; Bacilli; Lactobacillales; Streptococcaceae.